AUGGCGGGCUCUCUCUCCGCCGCCCAUGGACUGGACAGAAGUGGUGUCCCUGUCUGUAUCCAUUCUCCUCUCACGUGUACCGGUGCAAUAGCUAGUCACGUGGGGCCUGGGCCCAGCCUGUCACCCCCAGGGACAGGGAACUUGCCCCAGUGCGAAGCAGCAGGCCUCCACACAGGACCUUCUGAAUUACGCAUCGUCCUCACCGAGUUUGUUACAGUGGAAGCGAUUUCCAGGCCUGUUCUUUCCAGUAAACAGAGUCACUCCGUCCCUCCCUCAGAAAUGGAAGCAGCUGUCGCGGUUACAGCGGAACGUGAUUCUCCUGGUGCUGGCGUUUCUGGGGCUUGGUGGACUCCUGUCCUACAUCAGCGUGGCGGACCAGUGGAAAGGUAUCAGCUCCGUGAGCGCCUAGAUGACACUGGGCAGAACGGCAAACCCACCCGUCCUGCCAGCUCCCCAGAAGGCAGAGGCUAACCCAGAAAACGUCCCGGGAGUGCUACCUCAGGUACCCCCAGUGAGCUGUAGGUGCAUUUGUAUCCGGGGUCCGUUCCGGAAGCAUCGGAACAGGACGUAGUACUCAAACAGGUUGGGGAGACUUCUUUUUCUUACCGGGUGCCUGGUGUGCUGACCUCGACCUCACUUGUUCUGGGCUGGGUGGACGGGGCGUGGGGAAGGAGGGAGGGAUAUUCUUCUCUUCGUUCUUCAUUGCACACCUGCUGUUUAGGUGGUAAAGAACGAAACAGACCUGUCCCUUCUUUCGCAGAGCUGCAGGCUGGCGGGAGGGAGAGGCAGGUGAGACGCCAGGAACAAACAGGAGCAGGCAGGUGGCCGCGUGUGUGUCCUACAAGGAGAAGAGCCGACACCCUGAGAGAGACCCUGGGCCCGGCCCUUCGGUCAGGGCGGGACACUGAACUGCAGUCUGAAGGCUGAGGGUGGGGAGCUGGGGUCCCACAAGGGCCUGCACGGGGAAGGGAGCAGGGGGCAGCGCAGGCAGCCCUGGAGGCUCCGUCGGCGGGGGCAGGAUGUCCGAAUUUCACUGUGAAGACGCUCUGGGCGCCGGGUGGACACGGCGGCAGAGUCAGGAGUGGACGGCAGGAGGCGGCAGAGCCCAGCUGUCUGGACUGGGAGAGCCUGCACUUGGAGAAGUCUGGGCAGGACUGGGUCUGUGAGGGGAGGGAGCGCCCCUGGGGGAGGGGCCAAUGGAGGCUGAGAGGAGCCGGGUUGGGAACAUCAGGCGCUCCUUUCUGGACCUGCCCCACCUAUGUGAGGUGCCUGGGGCCUCAGGAGACGUGGGUGGUGGUGUCAAGGUCAGAGUCAGGUGUGUGAGCCCCCAGGGACCGGGUGUCUUCUGGAGAGGGAGGAGGAGGAGCCAGGCCUAGUCCUAGUUGGGGUGGGAAGGAGGCGAGGGGCCCUGGAGAAUAGAGGGCAGUUAGGAGGCCCGCAGGGGACCAGGAAGCAUGCCCUCUGCAGAGAGCUUCCCGGGAGAUGGUCUCUGAGACCGGGGUGCUCUGCGCCUAGGGACGUCCGGUGUCGCUCCUCAGGUGUGGGGGUGGGCGCCGCUGCUGGAGAGGAUGCUGAGCCAGUGCUGGCCUCACACCCUGCGGGGCCGCCCCGGGGAGAAGGAAGGCCGCCCCGCUGCCUCUCCAGGGUCUGUGUGCAAGAGAGUGAAUUUCCCCUUCGUAAAGCCGACUUGCGUUCCCUUGGCUUCUUUCGGCCGCUCUGACACACGGACUCAUAACCGUGGGAAAGCAGAAUGCCGCAUGUCCCCCGAGAAAGUCGCGGGCCCAUGCUCGUGACAUCCACGGUCCCGUCUGGAGUCCAGGGAGGGCCUGCACCGUUAGGGGUGAACGUCCCCAUCCCUUUGGUGCAAGAAUUGGGGGUGAGGCCCUUCCACUUGUCCCCUGGACACGUCUCCCACUCGGCGCUGGUCCCCAAGAUGUUUCUGCGACGGUGCUUUGUUUUGGCCGGACUGGAAUCUCUUGAUACCCCCUUGAGUCGUUCAAAUCUGUCCAAGGAGCAUGUGUUCGCGGCUUAGGUGGAUGUUGAAAAGCAGAGACUGCACCUCACGGGUCGCCCUCCUUCCUGUCCUCGGGGGUGGUGUCCCUGGGCACACCCACCGUAGAGGACUAGCUGAGAGGUCGAGGAUGAGCGCUGUGUCCGUGUUGUCGCCGAGUGUGGCGCCUUUGCCAUAAGUGCUGAGGAUGAGCCGGGCGGCCGGGGACAGGCCUGCAGCUGUGUUCUCAGGGCUGUGUUCUCGGGAUGUGGUUCUAACCCUUUCGUGCUCCCGUCGGGCCUGUGACACGCACCCUCGCCCCCUGAACAUGAGUGUGGGGCACUCCAGCAUUUUCCCUUUGCUGCAGUGUUUUGGUGGGGGUUCCAGUCCUCUCCCCUGCAGUUCGUUUGCAUGUUUCUGGGCCUGGCCCCCCGCAGCCAGCAGGGGACCCAUUCCCAGAUCACUGAGCCCAGUUCACUGCUGCGAACGUGAGCGUCGGGCCAUGUGAAGCCAGCCCACUCACGUCCUCGUGCAGUGAUUCACCACAGACAACAGGCAGAAACUACCCAAAUGUCCACCGAUGGGUGAAUGCAUAAGGAAAACAUGGUAUCUAUAUGCAAUGGGAUGUUACGACGUCCAGAUACCUGCCAUGACGUGGAUGGCCUGAGGACAUUGUGCGAAGUGAAACGAGCCUGUCAAAACAGGCACAUCCAUGAGGUCUCUAGAGUGGGCGGACCAGGUUAGCAGCGGCUGCAGAAGGGGAGUGGGUGUUGUGAGUGGGUGAAGCUUUUUGGGAUGAUGAGCUAGUUUGGGAAAUGGAUGAUGA
Rhinolophus ferrumequinum (greater horseshoe bat) is the source of this 2816-nucleotide long non-coding RNA. The record is from Ensembl. NCBI's taxonomy places the organism in Eukaryota, Metazoa, Chordata, Mammalia, Chiroptera, Rhinolophidae.